ACUGCAGAGAAGGCAAUUUUCCACGGGAAUCCCAUGUGGGAGGAAGGGAAGGGAUGGAGUCUCAGUGCUAGCAGGAAGAGGAAGGUGCUUCAGAAAGGGUUUUUACUUACCUCUUCUGACAACUUACCCUAUGGGCAUUUCCGGCCUUUGUUAGUGUUUUCUACAAAACUGGUGCUGGAGAUUAAUCUGUGCCCUGUGGGUACUAGGUCCACUUCUGCACAUUAUCUCCAGGCUCUGCCACCAGAAAGAGAUUCUCCAUUUCUCUUCUGUUUUUCUUCCU
Molecule: long non-coding RNA, 280 nt
Organism: Onychomys torridus (southern grasshopper mouse)
Lineage: Eukaryota; Metazoa; Chordata; Mammalia; Rodentia; Cricetidae
Exons: 3
Source: RefSeq, a predicted model, not a curated record